RNAcentral lists this non-coding RNA (31 nucleotides) under Trichobilharzia regenti. The record is from RNAcentral. Lineage: Eukaryota; Metazoa; Platyhelminthes; Trematoda; Strigeidida; Schistosomatidae.
AUUCAGAUGACGAGUCCCAAAUAGGACGAAA